This 253-nucleotide ribosomal RNA is filed under the name uncultured bacterium. RNAcentral describes it as "partial 16S ribosomal RNA". It matches the Rfam family "Bacterial small subunit ribosomal RNA", at positions 524 to 776 of the family's 1533-position model. The record is from RNAcentral.
UACGGGGGGGGCAAGCGUUGUUCGGAAUUACUGGGCGUAAAGGGCUCGUAGGCGGCCAACUAAGUCGGACGUGAAAUCCCCAGGCUCAACCUGGGAACUGCGUCUGAUACUGGAAAGCUCGAGUCCGGGAGAGGUGAGUGGAACUGCGAGUGUAGAGGUGAAAUUCGUAGAUAUUCGCAAGAACACCAGUGGCGAAGGCGGCUCACGGGCCCGGUACUGACGCUGAGGUGCGAAAGCGUGGGGAGCAAACAGG